UACAGAGGUGGCAAGCGUUGUUCGGAAUUACUGGGCGUAAAGGGCGCGUAGGCGGCUUUCUAAGUCAGACGUGAAAUCCCAAGGCUUAACCUUGGAACUGCGUCUGAUACUGGAAAGCUGGAGUUCGGGAGAGGGAUGUAGAAUUCCAGGUGUAGCGGUGAAAUGCGUAGAUAUCUGGAGGAAUACCGGUGGCGAAGGCGGCAUCCUGGACCGAAACUGACGCUGAGGCGCGAAAGCUAGGGUAGCAAACGGG
Molecule: ribosomal RNA, 253 nt
Filed under: uncultured bacterium
Lineage: Bacteria
Description: partial 16S ribosomal RNA
Rfam family: Bacterial small subunit ribosomal RNA
Source: RNAcentral